Molecule: long non-coding RNA, 1527 nt
Organism: Cercocebus atys (sooty mangabey)
Lineage: Eukaryota; Metazoa; Chordata; Mammalia; Primates; Cercopithecidae
Exons: 2
Source: RefSeq, a predicted model, not a curated record
UGGCAAUAACCAAAGGUAUGAAGUAUUUAGAAACAAAAAUGCAAAGAUCUUUUAUCUAACAAAAGAUGUAUAAGAUCUAUAUAUGGAAACACUAAAGCUCUUCUGAAAGACAUUAACAAGAAAUGAAUACAGGACGUGAGAUAGCACGUUCCUAGAAUGUCGUACAGAUGUCAAUUCUCAAAUUAAUCUACAAAUUUAAUGUAAUCCUGUUCAAAUCCCAAGAUAGUUUUUGGUGGCAGCUGUUUGUGAGACAGGGUCUCGCUGUUGCCCAGGCUAGAGUGCAGUGGUAUGACCACAGUUCACUGCAUCCUCAACCUCCCAGGCUCAAGCAAUCCUGCCACUUCAGCCUCUGAAGUCUCUCAUAUGGUGUCCAAGAAAUGGUGACAAAUCUCACAAAGGGACUAGGCUCAGGAGGGCUGGAAUAUUCAGGGAAGGUGUCAAGAAGAUGAACCUGAGUUGGCUUUUGAGAGAUUCAUAGGAUUCCCACAGGCAGAGUGAAAUAAGGGCAUUUUAGAUGGACAAACACACAAAAGCAGAAAUGCGGAUGGUGUGACUGGGGUAUGGUGAGGGGCUGCUCUGGCUGGAAUGGAGGGCUGUCACAAUAAUGGAAAUGGCAAAUGAGGCAAGUAAGGUUGGAUUGGUAGCAUAGUGUCAAGGUUGCCAGUUUAUUAAAUCACUCUUCCAAUAUGCUAGCAGUGGCCUCUUGGGGAUCAUGUAAUCGAACAAAAGGCAAACAGAGGCAAGCUCCAGGAAUGGGCACUGUGAACAGGACUCGCCCCAGAGUAGCCAGAUGUAGGCUUUAGACAUUUUAAUGCAGGUUGAGCAUCUCUGAUCCGAGGGGGAAUGUCUCACAUGGUCUCCAAGAAAUGGUGACACAUCUCACAGAGGGCCUAGGCUCAGGAGGCCUGGAGUAUGAAACGCUCCCCGUCCCCUGUGAACUUAAAAAUGUGGCCAUCAACUUUUUUAAAAGAUGGCUACUCUGUAGUGCUUUAACUGGACCUUUUUAGACAAUGCCUUACACACUGGAAAAGGAUGAUACUGUGUGAACCUAAUAAGUCUACAAGACAAUACUUCUCUCUUUUGGCUGUCUCCUUCCUCUCCAGGGUGAUGACAACUCCGUGAGGUGGAGAUUAUACGUCUCUCAUCAUUUCAGCAACAAGGAAAUAAAUGAGUGGCAGAGUAAGGGGUGACUUGAGACCUCCUGGAAGCGAGGAUCCUUUAAAAUCAUGGAAUAUACACUGCAGUAAAAGAACAAAGCGUACGUCAGCCUUAACCGACUGAAGAAGAAUGUCAAGUAGCAGCAGGUGGGAAAGCGGCUUUGGUUUUGAGUUUGUGGGCUCUGAAUCCACACAAAGACAGGACUGCAUUCUGAAAACCUGAAUUAAUUGUGCUUACCUGAAUGAGGCAGAAAAUUAUAAUCAAAGUCGUUAGUAUUUCGGUCACAAAUAAUGCCAAGAUGAGUUUGUUGUUAUAUCCAUAUCCUGGAACUUCUUUUGUGAGCUAACAAAAAAAAAAAAAGAGAGAGAG